RNAcentral lists this ribosomal RNA (440 nucleotides) under uncultured bacterium. Its description in RNAcentral is "bacterial SSU rRNA". It matches the Rfam family "Bacterial small subunit ribosomal RNA", at positions 374 to 833 of the family's 1533-position model. The record is from RNAcentral.
GGAGGAUCUGAUGCAGCAACGCCGCGUGGAGGAUGACGCAUUUCGGUUUGUAAACUCCUUUUAUGUGAGAAGAUAAUGACGGUACCAUAUGAAUAAGCACCGGCUAACUCCGUGCCAGCAGCCGCGGUAAUACGGAGGGUGCAAGCGUUACUCGGAAUCACUGGGCGUAAAGCGCGCGCAGGCUGUCUUUUAAGUUGGAUGUGAAAUCCUAUGGCUCAACCAUAGAACUGCAUCCAAAACUAUUAGACUAGAGUCUGGGAGGGGAAGAUGGAAUUAAUGGUGUAUGGGUAAAAUCCGUAAAUAUGCGGAGGAACACCGAUGGCGAAGGCAACUCCCUGGGCCUGCACUGACGCUCAUGAUCAAAUGCGUGGGGAGCAAACACGAUUAGAUACCCUGGUAGUCCACGCCCUAAACGAUGAAUGUUAGUCGUCGGAGGCUUC